Non-coding RNA from Chlamydomonas reinhardtii, 265 nucleotides. The record is from Rfam. NCBI's taxonomy places the organism in Eukaryota, Viridiplantae, Chlorophyta, Chlorophyceae, Chlamydomonadales, Chlamydomonadaceae.
AAUGCGGGACGUCUGCGCCGCACAUGUCUCAGGAGGACAUCGCCACUAUUAGCAAGCUACUUCAGGGUAUCUCGGUCAGCAUUUCGUUUGGCAAGAUGUCCGCUUCAGGUACACGCCGCUCACGCGAUGAAGGCGUCAUCGCAUGAGCGGCGCGUACCCGGAGUGGACGUCUUGCCAAUCGAGAUGCUGACCGAGAUACCCUCCAGCAGCUUGCUACUACGGACGAUCUCUUCCUGAGACAUGUGCGGUGCAGACGUCUCGUAUU